Molecule: ribosomal RNA, 433 nt
Filed under: uncultured bacterium
Lineage: Bacteria
Description: partial 16S ribosomal RNA
Rfam family: Bacterial small subunit ribosomal RNA
Source: RNAcentral
AGCGAACGCUGGCGGCAGGCCUAACACAUGCAAGUCGAACGAACUCUUCGAAGUUAGUGGCGGACGGGUGAGUAACACGUGGGAACGUGCCUUUAGGUUCGGAAUAACUCAGGGAAACUUGUGCUAAUACCGAAUGUGCCCUUCGGGGGAAAGAUUUAUCGCCUUUAGAGCGGCCCGCGUCUGAUUAGCUAGUUGGUGAGGUAAAGGCUCACCAAGGCGACGAUCAGUAGCUGGUCUGAGAGGAUGAUCAGCCACAUUGGGACUGAGACACGGCCCAAACUCCUAUGGGAGGCAGCAGUGGGGAAUCUUGCGCAAUGGGCGAAAGCCUGACGCAGCCAUGCCGCGUGAAUGAUGAAGGUCUUAGGAUUGUAAAAUUCUUUCACCGGGGACGAUAAUGACGGUACCCGGAGAAGAAGCCCCGGCUAACUUCGUG